GAACCUCUGUCAUUAGUUCUCAGCUCUCAGUCCUCUAGUCUGAGAGAGCUGGACCUGAGUAACUCUGACCUGCAGGACUCAGGACUGAAGCUUCUGUCUGUUGGAGUAAAGAGUCCAAACUGCAGACUGGAAACUCUCAGAUCUUGAAGGAUCCUCUUGGCUGUGAAGAUGACAGGAGCAAGAAACCCCAGAGGAUCCUAGAAGGAGCUUACUGUGCAUAGGAUCCCUCUCCGAGUCAAUGGCCUGUUUAAGAUGGAUAUGCAGAACUUAAAUGCAUCUGACUGUAGGCACCACCACACUCCCAGUGCUCGCUCAACAGUCUGUCGGGCUGUCUGAUCACAGAGGAAGGCUGUACGUUUCUGGCCACAGCUCUGAGCUCUAACCCUUCUCAUCUGAGAGAGCUGGACCUGAGCUACAAUCAUCCAGCAGACUCGGGAAUGAAGCUGCUGU
Molecule: long non-coding RNA, 450 nt
Organism: Oreochromis niloticus (Nile tilapia)
Lineage: Eukaryota; Metazoa; Chordata; Actinopteri; Cichliformes; Cichlidae
Exons: 3
Source: RefSeq, a predicted model, not a curated record